UUUAUGGGUUAAGGCCCCCUACAGACUAUGGGGUUGAUAGGCCGGAGGUGUACAGCAGUGAUGCCCAGCCGACCGGUACUAAUAGGCCGAGGGCUUAUCUUUC
This 103-nucleotide ribosomal RNA is filed under the name Nocardioides turkmenicus. Its description in RNAcentral is "partial 23S ribosomal RNA". It matches the Rfam family "Bacterial large subunit ribosomal RNA", at positions 2820 to 2925 of the family's 2925-position model. Lineage: Bacteria; Bacillati; Actinomycetota; Actinomycetes; Propionibacteriales; Nocardioidaceae. The record is from RNAcentral.